GGGCCCGUGGCCUAGCCAGGAUAAGGCGUCGAGCGGCCUUCAUAGCCGGAGAUCGAGGGUUCGAAUCCCCCCGGGCCCGCCA
RNAcentral lists this transfer RNA (82 nucleotides) under Candidatus Bathyarchaeota archaeon. RNAcentral's name for it is "tRNA-Sec". It matches the Rfam family "tRNA". Rfam says of the family: Transfer RNA (tRNA) molecules are approximately 80 nucleotides in length. Their secondary structure includes four short double-helical elements and three loops (D, anti-codon, and T loops). The record is from RNAcentral. Lineage: Archaea; Thermoproteati; Candidatus Bathyarchaeota.